RNAcentral lists this long non-coding RNA (443 nucleotides) under Homo sapiens (human). RNAcentral describes it as "HSALNT0350560". Lineage: Eukaryota; Metazoa; Chordata; Mammalia; Primates; Hominidae. The record is from RNAcentral.
GGAAGGCGAGGUCCGGGCUGCAUGCAGAGCUGAGAGCUGAGGACUCCCAUCUCCAGCCUGCCCGGGUGAAGCGCGCCUGGAGGGACCUCUCGGUGAUCCCCGGCCGACCCCUCCCCAGCACUCAGCCCAAGAACCAGCCUCAACCACCUCCCUUCCCAGCUCAGCCUCACCUGCUGCCCAACCUGCAAUACCUCCUCCCAUCUCCCAUCCUCAGACAGCCCAUCCCUCCUGCAAGGUCCAGUCCGAAGUCGUCACCUCCCCCAGGAGGCCCACCCGUCCUCCUCAGCCCAGCCUGACUCUCAGGAUCAGGCUCACCCUGCGGAGGCUGAAGCCACCAAGUCAUAGUCCCAGUCCCAAGGGGAAGACAGGCCUGGAGCAGGGAGAGGUGUGGGCAAGAACACAGCCUCCGUCCCACAAAGAGGAGUUCAAACCCCCGCUCCAGC